RNAcentral lists this ribosomal RNA (424 nucleotides) under Fusobacteriota bacterium. RNAcentral describes it as "Fusobacteria bacterium partial 16S ribosomal RNA". It matches the Rfam family "Bacterial small subunit ribosomal RNA", at positions 355 to 776 of the family's 1533-position model. Lineage: Bacteria; Fusobacteriati; Fusobacteriota. The record is from RNAcentral.
UGAGGAAUAUUGGUCAAUGGGCGAGAGCCUGAACCAGCCAAGUAGCGUGCAGGAUGACGGCCCUAUGGGUUGUAAACUGCUCUUAUGUGGGGAUAAAGUGCGUGACGUGUCAUGCAUUGCAGGUACCACAUGAAUAAGGACCGGCUAAUCCCGUGCUAGCAGCCGCGGUAAUACGGGAGGUCCGGGCGUUAUCCGGAUUUAUUGGGUUUAAAGGGAGCGUAGGCUGUCUAUUAAGCGUGUUGUGAAAUUUACCGGCUCAACCGGUGGCUUGCAGCGCGAACUGGUCGACUUGAGUAUGCAGGAAGUAGGCGGAAUUCAUGGUGUAGCGGUGGAAUGCUUAGAUAUCAUGACGAGCUCCGAUUGCGCAGGCAGCUUACUGUAGCAUAACUGACGCUGAUGCUCGAAAGUGCGGGUAUCAAACAGG